UAAAGGGUCCGCAGGCGUGCGUAUAAGUCAGUGGUGAAAUCCUGCAGCUUAACUGCAGAACUGCCAUUGAUACUGUACGUCUUGAAUUCGGUCGAAGUGGGCGGAAUGUGUAGUGUAGCGGUGAAAUGCAUAGAUAUUACACAGAACACCGAUAGCGAAGGCAGCUCACUAGGCCUGGAUUGACGCUCAGGGACGAAAGCGUGGGGAUCAAACAGGAUUAGAUACCGGGU
RNAcentral lists this ribosomal RNA (230 nucleotides) under uncultured bacterium. Its description in RNAcentral is "partial 16S ribosomal RNA". It matches the Rfam family "Bacterial small subunit ribosomal RNA", at positions 561 to 791 of the family's 1533-position model. The record is from RNAcentral.